AAAGUGCACCACCUUAGAGACACCACUACUGGAAACAGACUAGAAAAAGAAAAUCUGAAUGUCUCCAACUAGGAACCCAACAGACAAGGAACAGAUGCCUAAUUAACAGAGUGAAACUUGAUCAUAAGGCUUGCUGCUAGGAGAUAAAAUGCAAUUCUUUAGCCAGCUGCGCAUCAGUUUCCUCUGCUUGGCAUCCUACAUGUCUCCAAGUUCUGCACUGACCACCUCAGGCU
RNAcentral lists this long non-coding RNA (233 nucleotides) under Otus sunia (Oriental scops-owl). Its description in RNAcentral is "lncRNA (ENSOSUG00000003398.1)". The record is from RNAcentral. Lineage: Eukaryota; Metazoa; Chordata; Aves; Strigiformes; Strigidae.